This 926-nucleotide long non-coding RNA is filed under the name Gouania willdenowi (blunt-snouted clingfish). RNAcentral's name for it is "lncRNA (ENSGWIG00000015152.1)". The record is from RNAcentral. Lineage: Eukaryota; Metazoa; Chordata; Actinopteri; Blenniiformes; Gobiesocidae.
ACCACAUAGACCAGCGCUCCAUGACAGGGAUCAUAGUGGGUGUGAGCAUCGCUUUGGCCUGUAUUGUUACGUGUGCUUUGAUCCUGAUCAGUAAAGGUCGACCAAGAAAGUCUUCUAGUCAUAAAGUGGUUGCAGUGGGGGCUCCUCAUGGUCCACAUCCUGGACGUCAUGUGACCAGUGAACACGUGGAGGCUCUGGUUCCAAUGAUGUGUGAUCACUGCUUAGAUGCUGAGGUGGGACCUGCUCUCAGAGGUCAUGUGUUAGAUGAUCCUGCUUGGUGUUUCUAAUGUAGUGUGUGAUGUGUAUCAGGGAGGGUCCACUGUGGUCAUCAGCAGCACCAGUCCACCCAGUCACAACCAGAACCAGAGGUGGUUGUUUCUGAACAGGAACGUCACAGGGGCUGAUGUGGAAUCCAGAGCCAACUUUUAUGAAGCUGGAAAAACAGUUCUGAUGUACGAGGAUCGUCCAGGAUCUGCUCCUCUUCCCCCUUCUAUCAUCUAUGGACCACCUCGAUCAGAGAGCUCUCAGAGUAGUGAGGGCAGCCAUGACACAGGAGACUCUGGACACUACUCUAACGAAGAAAGUAACGAGGAGACAAACAACACGUCCACCAAACGAAGCUCCAGACCUCAAUCACUUGGUCCUGAUGUUGUGGAGCUGAAGAAGUCCCUUCAGGUAGAGAGAGACCACUCUUCUCCGGAUCAUUCCUGGCCCCGCUCUGCCCUCAACACCUCCCGAGGUUCAUCCAACCCUAACCCCAACCCUGACCCUAGGAUAGUUCCCUAAUCUUAACCCUAACCCUACGCCACCACUACCUCGUCCCCUUCCCACCUGAAGCCUCUAAAGGAAACGGAGGAACGGCCUCAGACUGAGCUCAGGACUAUGUAUGAAUGUUGAUGAUGGUAUUUUUUGUUACUUCGUCCCCU